RNAcentral lists this ribosomal RNA (407 nucleotides) under uncultured bacterium. RNAcentral describes it as "partial 16S ribosomal RNA". It matches the Rfam family "Bacterial small subunit ribosomal RNA", at positions 30 to 526 of the family's 1533-position model. The record is from RNAcentral.
AUUGAACGCUGGCGGCAGGCCUAACACAUGCAAGUCGAGCGGAGCGGCGGACGGGUGAGUAAUGCAUAGGAAUCUGACUGGUAGUGGGGGAUGACGUCCGGAAACGGGCGCUGAUACCGCACACUAUCAGAUGAGCCUAGGUCGGAUUAGCUAGUUGGUAGGGUAAAGGCGUACCAAGGCGACGAUCCGUACCUGGUCUGAGAGGAUGAUCAGUCACACUGGAACUGAGACACGGUCCAGACUCCUACGGGAGGCAGCAGUGGGGAAUAGUGGACAAUGGGCGAAAGCCUGAUCCAGCCAUGCCGCGUGUGUGAAGAAGGUCUUCGGAUUGUAAAGCCCUUUUAGUUGGGAGGCGGUACCAACAGAAUAAGCACCGGCUAACUUCGUGCCAGCAGCCGCGGUAAUUC